GCUGAUGUGGCUCAGUAGGUAGAGCAGCUCACUCGUAAUGAGCAGGUCGCCGGUUCGAAUCCGGCCAUCAGCUCCA
Molecule: transfer RNA, 76 nt
Filed under: Clostridia bacterium
Lineage: Bacteria; Bacillati; Bacillota; Clostridia
Also listed under: 1 other name
Description: tRNA-Thr
Rfam family: tRNA
About the family: Transfer RNA (tRNA) molecules are approximately 80 nucleotides in length.
Source: RNAcentral